Molecule: non-coding RNA, 1022 nt
Organism: Ceratotherium simum simum (southern white rhinoceros)
Lineage: Eukaryota; Metazoa; Chordata; Mammalia; Perissodactyla; Rhinocerotidae
Source: RefSeq, a predicted model, not a curated record
UUGUGAGGAUUAAUAUGCAUUCAUUUUCGUGGCUAAGGUAGGGGUUGUGAAUCUAAGCAUUUUUAACAAUAGAAUUUUUGGGCACUCUAAGGACUAAACGUAUUGCUUUACUGAGCUUGGAUGAAAAUGCCGAUCAGAAGCUGUCCAUUGGUUCUCUGACUUUAGAGGACCAACGGAUAAUAUAAUACUUCAAUCUUGGAAUUGGAUUCAAGCGAGCACUCUGACAGGCAGGGCUUCUAGGUUGGCUAUUACCAAUAAUUAUUCCUUGAAAUGACAUCGUUUUUAGUCAGUAUAUAAUUCUUACAAAAUUUAUGUGAGAUAGAUGGGACUGUAGAAGCACUUACAGAGAGAAGUUAACUCUCUUGGAACACGUAACAAUUAAUGACAGUUAAGAUUAGAAUCUAGCUUAAUUGAACUCUGUUUAAUGAUCUCCCUUCUAUCUCUCUCCUUCCCUUUCUUUCUCCCUUCCUUCCUUUCAUUUAGUAAUAUUUAUUGAGUGCCUUAUGUGCUCAGCACUAUUAUAGGUGCCUUCCUCUAGAUUACCAGCAGAAUAUAAAAGUAUUCAACCCUACCGUUCAACUUUAUUUAAUAGCAGAUAUUUGGAUGAAAGAAAAGGAAGAGGUUUUCUAAUACAAAACCUAAUAUUGACUGCUCUGUUCACUUGUGAAAAAUUUUAUCAGCUCUAGAUUGUAACAUUUCAUUGUGCCAGUUAAUAGUGUUAAAAAUGAUCAAGUUUCUGUGUUAGCUGCUUCUCUAAGGAGAUAUAGAAUAUACCUUAGAUGGUAAAGGAAAAAUGUAGACGUCAUCCAUAUUCAUAUUAGAAGAUAUAUAUGUGCAUGUUGCUAGUAAAAAGUGGAAAGGGUAAUAGUUAGUUAAAUUGGUUCUUAGCUUGGGUUUCCUAAAAAAUGGAACCUGAGACAAGGAUUAAGAGCCUAUGCUUCAUUUGAGAGGUGCAAUCCCUAGGCAGUAAGAGAGAGAAGAAGGGAAAGUGAUUCAGAGAAGCAUGAGAGGCAGUGCAAGAC